UUUUUAGAGGGGACAGACAUUAAGAAUACUUUUAUUGCUCCUACCCGCAAGCUGACAGAGAUAGCAGAUUCUGUGAAAGAGUGAGACACAGAGUGUCUGGAAACUGGUGUCACACAAACUCCUUCUAAGGGCAAAAUCCCCUCUGCACUGCUGGACAUGCAUUCAAGAAAAGUGGUUGGCAAGCAAGUUCAUAGCUCCAGCUUUCAAGGUCCUCUGCAUCAUCCUGCAGUAGAACCAGAAGGAAUAGAAGGAAUACUGGGAGGAUACUUCCAAAUCGCCCCCUCCACUCCCCCCCUCAGACACAAAAGCCAGCCAACCAAACAAGCAAGCAAAACCUAAUCCACCAAAAAAUGAAAAAUUAAAACCUAUUAAACAGAUUUAUCUGUUCUUGUCUACUCUAAUUGCAAAGUAAUAGUUGUCAUUGUUUUAAUUAAGAUGCCAUUUUUUUUCUUGAUUGCUUUAGUCUUAAUUCCAGCUUCUAGGAGAAAGCUGUCCAUUCUUGGUUCCUUGCUAUACUUCCCUAUAACAAGCUGAGUUCACAUUAUUCAAACCUCGUAAGACCUUUCCAGUAUGGAAUGAAGUCUGGAUUUCUUUGAAGUCAGUAGUAAAAUUCCUACUGACUUUCACAGGAUUUUUGCCCACAGAGAUUUCAGUAUACGCCAUCUCUUUGCUGACUUUAUUUAAGACCUCAUUAAAGUUUUAAAUCUGCUAAAGCUGUAUUUUUCUGAUUUUUCUCAUCAUUGUCCUUCCUUUCAAAAAGAAUAAAUACAUUUGCAAUGCAUCA
This 784-nucleotide long non-coding RNA is filed under the name Coturnix japonica (Japanese quail). RNAcentral's name for it is "lncRNA (ENSCJPG00005019068.1)". The record is from RNAcentral. Lineage: Eukaryota; Metazoa; Chordata; Aves; Galliformes; Phasianidae.